AGAACGCGAGCUGCAGUUGAAAACAACAUAUAAAGGAAAUGAAGCAAACCGCCCAGAGCCACACGGAUCCUGGCCGCUGGUCCAUGCCGUUUCUGGACCCUGAAAACUUCUGCUUCCCAAAUCUCCUCGAACCCCUCCAAGACCUGAGUUUGCCUGAGACCUGAAAUUUCAGCCUCCUUGGAUCAGUUGACCCUAAGCACUGAAAGGAGAGGAAUUAGGGGGAGGAGAUAGAAAAAGAAGAUCCAGUGCUUGAGAACGUUCCAGCUAUAAGGAGACUGUGAUGUCUUGAAGGCAAGGACAGUGGUUUUUCUUUGCUUCCCUACCACUUAGCACAGUGUCUGGAAUUUGGUAAGAG
Molecule: long non-coding RNA, 355 nt
Filed under: Sarcophilus harrisii (Tasmanian devil)
Lineage: Eukaryota; Metazoa; Chordata; Mammalia; Dasyuromorphia; Dasyuridae
Description: lncRNA (ENSSHAG00000030552.1)
Source: RNAcentral